Patiria miniata (bat star) is the source of this 2328-nucleotide long non-coding RNA. RefSeq lists it as uncharacterized. Lineage: Eukaryota; Metazoa; Echinodermata; Asteroidea; Valvatida; Asterinidae. The record is from RefSeq and is a predicted model, not a curated record. The transcript has 2 exons.
AGUCGCCUGUAUUUCUAGUCCUAGUGGAACUAGGAAAGUCUGCGGUUGUUACGUAAGCCAUGGUCGGAAUGAGAAAAGGGUGUGAGCUCUUUGUUAUGCAUGAGUGAUUUUCUUUGUUGCAUGAGUGUGUGAGCUAGGAGGAGGAAAGGCGCGCGUUUCAGACAGACACAAGGUCCGUGUGGUGAAAGCAACAUCAGCGCCGUGUGGAUUACCGUUUCGUCACAGUACCACCUUCGGUGUGUUGCGAGCCGUAUUUUCUAUGUAGAAAAUCGAAAGCCUGUUGUGCUGACCAUGGCUUUUUGGAGCAGGGUUUGACCAUACCCACUUCAAGUGCACUGGAGGUGCUAAAGAGUGGCCAAGAGAGGGCGCUAUUGACGGUCACAGGACAAAAUGGCGCAGACGCUACCUGGACCAUACUGAUUGCGUGAAGCAAGUGUGAAGCGACCCUGGGCCCUAACGGUUUCCAAGCUCAGUCACCAAUGUAUUACUACCCCAGUCCUGAAGAUUGUAGCUACAUGUAGACGGUGGGACCAAGCAAGGUUGGUGUGGGAGUAGAACUCGCCCCAUAUCCUUCGGGAGUACAGAGACUGAACACUUGAACCGCAUGAAUGAUCAGCUGAUCAAGAGAUCAGAUAUGACAUGUAUGACAUGUACUGUUGAGUAAAAGUGGGCAUACAUUAACCUUGUGGUGGGUUCCAAAAGCAGUAAAUUGUUGUAGGCCUGAAGGAAGGUUGAACCCCAAAAGCUCACUUUUCUGCAAAUUCUGUAAUUGUGAUUGUAUAACAUUUAACUUGUAAGUCGUUUCAUAUAUUCUCCAGGAACCAGUGUAUUACUAAUACUACUAGGCUGAAAUCCAAGGUAUGUACCUGACUUGAGUCACUCAAGCUGACCUGCAUGUGCAUGUACCAUUUAUUUGAUUUGUGUAUAAUUUCUGUUUGUGAUCAGUAACUUGGAGUCAAUAGAUUUUGCUUUAUUUGUUCUGUUGCUUAAUUUUUAAGACUUGCAUGGUGCAUGCUGGGUUGAGAGUUGUUUUUGCAUAAUUCUAGAUUUUGCAUGGUUGCAUGAAAGUUACUUGGUGUACUUUCAUUUAAGUUAUUAUUUGGUUGAUUGGUUUUUGUGUAUACCUAUAUUUUGGUCUUGGUUACUUGUAUAAAUAUAUUUUUUGUUAUUUUUUUUCUAGUUCAUUGUAAUAAAUAAGUGCAUAUUUGUUAUUCAUUUAAUCCUUUUGUCGGGUGUGGAAUAAUUGUGUGCAUCACCUAGGGUGGGCUAACGACCCUUGUUUGAAUCCUUUUUUUUUCUUUUUCCUUUGCUUGCUGCUUUCGCGCAUGACAACGACUAUGACCUAUGCAUGAACCUGUUGCAACACUUUGCCGUUGGGACAGUCGUUUAGCGAAGUGUACAUGCACACAAAGAGAGAUGAAACAGUUUGAAAUGUUUAAUGCUCCCUUUCUUGUCAACAUUAAUUGUUUGAAUUUUAAGGAAUCACACGACUUAGCCGUUCAAUUAAUUCAAUCUCAUGCACUUUAGUUUAGGUGCCAAAAGUGUGUUCAAUCACAGCAAGCGCAAAUAGCACAUCUGUUAAAGUCUGUUAAAAACAAUAAUACUAGAAGUGUGUUGGCAUGCACACGAAGUGCUAUUUCUCAAAUAGUUUGCAUUACUUAAAGUACUUCAGAUGAUUACAGUCCAUCACUAGCGCUACCUGUGCUAUAACUGUGUACAAUCACAUGAGGCGCAAAAUGGUCAUAGCACAUCAAGUAAUUCGGGUACCAAUAAUCUAUUACAUGAAAUUACUUGAUGUGCAGUAAGUGUGUUCAAGCACAUGAAGUGCUCUCAAACAUCCAAAACGGAACAUUGUUACAAUCACAUGAUUGAAGCGCUUUUUCACACAUUUAUAGCACAUCAAGUGAUUUUAAAUGUCUUCAAUCUGUUGCAUGAAAUUUCCCCGUUAGGUUCAAUACGUGUGUUCAUGUACUUUAGAUGGUAUCAGUCAAUCACUAGCACGCAAUUAAGGUGCCUUGAUUGUAUACAAUCACGUAAAGCGCUAUAAUUUUAUAGCACAUCAAGUGAUUCAGGUGGUAGUAAUAUGUUACUUGAAAUCCCUUGAGGUGCAAUAAGUGUGUUCAAGCAUAUGAGGUGCUUUCUCUCAGACAGUUCCCAUCUCUUCAUGUACUUCAGAUGAUAUUAGUCAAUCACUUGCACUUAGCUGAGUUGCCAUAAGUGUGUACAAUCACCUGAAGCGCUAUAUUUUUGCAGGUGUUUUAAGCACGUCAAGUGUUCUAGGUGCAAAUAACCUGUUACAUGAAAUCACUUAAGGUGCAAUAAGUGAAU